GAUGAACGCUGGCGGCGUGCCUAAUACAUGCAAGUCGAGCGAACAGACGCUGAUCUUGCUCCUCUCACGUUAGCCGCGGACGGGUGAGUCACACGUGUAUCAUCUACCUAUAUUACUGGUAUCACUUCGGGAAUCCGGCUCUUAUCCCGUAUAAUCUCUUGCACCACAUUGUUCAAUAGUAAAAUACGGUUUUUCUGUCUCUUCUCGCUGCAUCCGGGCUGCAUUAGAUAGUUGGUAAGUUCACGGCUUACCAAGGCUACGAUGCGUAGCCGAAGUGACAGAGGGGUAGGCGACACGGGAACUGAGACGCGGUCCAGACGACUACGAGAGGCAGCAGUAGGGAAUCUUACGCAAUGGGCGAAAGCAUGACGGAGCAAGGCCGCGUGAGAGAUGAAGGUCUUCGGAUCGUAAAAAUCGGUUAUUAGGGAAGAACAAAUGUGGAAGGAACUAUGCACGGAGUGACGGUAACUAAUCAGAAAGCCACGGCUAACUACGUG
RNAcentral lists this ribosomal RNA (497 nucleotides) under uncultured bacterium. Its description in RNAcentral is "partial 16S ribosomal RNA". It matches the Rfam family "Bacterial small subunit ribosomal RNA", at positions 28 to 507 of the family's 1533-position model. The record is from RNAcentral.